This 624-nucleotide ribosomal RNA is filed under the name Bacillus sp. SC-B2A-D. Its description in RNAcentral is "bacterial SSU rRNA". It matches the Rfam family "Bacterial small subunit ribosomal RNA", at positions 57 to 665 of the family's 1533-position model. Lineage: Bacteria; Bacillati; Bacillota; Bacilli; Caryophanales; Bacillaceae. The record is from RNAcentral.
GCAGUCGAGCGAAUCGAUGGGAGCUUGCUCCCUGAGAUUAGCGGCGGACGGGUGAGUAACACGUGGGCAACCUGCCUAUAAGACUGGGAUAACUUCGGGAAACCGGAGCUAAUACCGGAUACGUUCUUUUCUCGCAUGAGAGAAGAUGGAAAGACGGUUUACGCUGUCACUUAUAGAUGGGCCCGCGGCGCAUUAGCUAGUUGGUGAGGUAAUGGCUCACCAAGGCGACGAUGCGUAGCCGACCUGAGAGGGUGAUCGGCCACACUGGGACUGAGACACGGCCCAGACUCCUACGGGAGGCAGCAGUAGGGAAUCUUCCGCAAUGGACGAAAGUCUGACGGAGCAACGCCGCGUGAACGAAGAAGGCCUUCGGGUCGUAAAGUUCUGUUGUUAGGGAAGAACAAGUACCAGAGUAACUGCUGGUACCUUGACGGUACCUAACCAGAAAGCCACGGCUAACUACGUGCCAGCAGCCGCGGUAAUACGUAGGUGGCAAGCGUUGUCCGGAAUUAUUGGGCGUAAAGCGCGCGCAGGUGGUUCCUUAAGUCUGAUGUGAAAGCCCACGGCUCAACCGUGGAGGGUCAUUGGAAACUGGGGAACUUGAGUGCAGAAGAGGAAAGUGGA